Dendroctonus ponderosae (mountain pine beetle) is the source of this 424-nucleotide long non-coding RNA. RefSeq lists it as uncharacterized. The transcript is spliced from 2 exons. The record is from RefSeq and is a predicted model, not a curated record. NCBI's taxonomy places the organism in Eukaryota, Metazoa, Arthropoda, Insecta, Coleoptera, Curculionidae.
AUAAGUUCAAUUAUCGUGCACAAAGUUCCGCUAAUAGAAAAACAGUGGACCUUGAUAAACUGUAUCAUGUGCAGUGUAUUCAAUAUUAUGAUUAUAAAUAAUAAGUUGUUUUGCUGUUUUGAUUAAUGGCCGUUUCAAUUAUCGUCGUUGGACUUACGUUGAGCCUCUGAGUUGAAGACAUUUUUGCUUGGAGUUUCGGCUAGAUUUUUCAUACACAUUUUGUGAGUUGCAGACUAAACUACCCGCAACUCGCCCAUAGCGAGUGUUUUUCCAACAUUGUUCCUGUAUGGAAAAACUAAACGAAACUUCCUCUUCGAGAAAUCCUCCUUUUGAUAAUGGAAAGUCAAAGAUUAAAACCAAUACAUGUACUUAUCAUCAACUUAACAUGUAGAUUGAUGUACCCAUUCAAAAAGAAAAAUUUAUU